CAAAAAUUCAUUACAAAGCCGUAUAAUACAAUAUUUCUCCCAUUUCCUUUUCCCCAUUGACUCUGCCUCUCCAUGAUUUUCCUCGACGCCUCAACUCUCACUCUCAUCUCUCUCCUCCUUCCACCGUCAACCAUCGGCGCCUUAGCUCACUCUCGUCUCUCUCCGACUUCCACCUCUGACCAACGGUGCCUCAGCCCUCACUCAUGUCUCUCUCUGCCUUCAGUUCCAGGAAUUUUUUCACAAGUUAUUACUGCUUUUAAUUGCAAGUCCAAUUUUAUCCAUACAGCCCAAUCAAAACACCCUUUCCAUUUUUCGUUCACCUUGGAGGUUUUAGUAUCCAAAAUUGCACCGAUUCUACAAAAAGACCCUUCUCUUUCUCCUUCGAUGUUUCAUCAAGCGAAGCAGAUUCGCGCCCAGAUUACCGUAAAUGGACUCUAGAAAGUGGGCAUUCUAGGCACGAGAACUUUGGGUAUGUACGUUUUGUGUAACAAGUAUUUUGAUGCCAAGGAAUUAUUUUAUCAGCUUAAUUUAUGCUAUGCUGCUCCUUGGAAUUGGAUGAUUAGAUAUUUUACCGUGACAGAUUAUUUUGAAUUUGCAAUUUUAUUUUAUUUUAAGAUGUUGGAUUUUGGUUCUUGGCCUGACAAGUAUACUUUUCCUUAUGUAAUUAAGGCUUGUGUUCUGUUAAGUUAAGGACAAUACAUGGCUUGAUUAAAGAUUUAGGCUUUGAGAUGGAUGUGUACGUUGGCACUGCUCUGGUCAAGUUCUAUGCAGAUAAUGACUGUAUAGAAACUGCACAUCGUAAAGGUAAUUUACAAGCAUCCAUGUGUUAAAGAACUUGGCAAAAACAGAACGAUAUACCAAAAUGUAGAAUGGAUUGAAGGAAAAAUUGAAAUUUUAGCCAAAGAUGUUCAUUGAAGAUAGAGUUGCAUAAAUUCAAUUGCUUGGUUUUCAUCUGAUAAAUUAUAUUUAUGUUCUUCUUUUCUAUUUAUUCCUAUAGAAAUGUACUAGGUAAAUCAGAAGAAUUGGAAAAUCAAAUCACAACAAUUCACGUGAUGAAGAAAAAGAGGAAAAAAUAGCAAGUAAAUAUAACAUACAAAUGAAAUGCAGAGCCGGUCUUGUGGUGAGGCCAAUGAGGCCCACGCCUCAGGCACAAAAUUCGAGGGGGCCUCAUUUUGGCCUUGAAUUUUUUUUUUCUUUUUUUGUGAGGUAAAAGGAAAAGGGUAUUUUCCAUUCGUUCUUCCCCUCUGAUUUUUUUUCCUGCGAUUGCUCUCCUCGUCCAACCUCCAAGCGGCUCUAACUCCAACGGGACGGUAGUCAGUGACCAGGAUAGGGUUCCCAAAUGAUUUCUUACUUUUGAUUUUUUUUUUUUUUUAUGCAUUCUUUUCUUGUUCUAAUCUUGCUGGAUUGUCUUCUUCUUGCUUGAUCUGGUCAUUUUUGCUCUUCAGAGGGUUGGGCUUCCAAGUUUCAAAUUUGACUUUCCUUGGUUUUUCACACAGUUCCCAUGUCUAAAGUUUUCAAUUUCAGUGGUAAGAUCUCUGAUAUUUUCUGGCUUUUGCUUAAAUUUCAUAUCUUUACCUUCAUAUACAUUUGGUAAAUCCUCUUAUUUUUCUAUAAAACACGUGUAAACUAACAUAUAUAUCAAAUAACAUGUUUCAGCACAUUAAAUAUCUUAAAUCUUUUCUCGAUUUUUGCUAAAGAGUCUAUGUUUUAAUUUUUUUUAUGCCUUUGAUUUAAUUGAAUCUUGUAUUUUCAUGAAAUAAAUAUAUAUGUAUACUUGCAUAAAUGUCCAUUUUUAUAAUCUUCGUAGAGAUGUUAUUAUCUCAAAAUCUGGAUAUGUUUCACUUGAAAAAAGUUUAUCAAUUACGUUUUUGUGGCUUUGUUUGAAUAAAACUUGAUAUGGUCUUGGAAGUAUCUAAGUAUGUAAUUACGCUUACAGUCUUUGAUUACAGUGGCAUGAUCUUUUUGUGGAUUUUGCUUAAAGUUUAUGGUUCUAGACUUAUAGCAAUUUGCAAUAGGAUUCUGAAUUUAUGAUGAAUAACAUAAUGGAAUAGAAUUGUAUAUUUGUAUUGGUGUUUGAUCUUAAAUUUUUAUUUCAGGUUUGUGAAUUGUGACGGUAGAAUUUUCAAGGAUGUGGUUUCGUAAUUUUUAUCGAAAUUCUACUUCUCAGAUAAGCAAUCGCUUGACCUAACUUGUUAUUGAAUAUAGUGAAAAUGUUUGAGACCUUGUCGGCUUAUAUAAUUGCUACGUGCUUGGCUUAUAUGAUUGAAUAUUGUAUGAUCAAUAAUUGUUUGACAUUAUUGGUUUUGUUAUUUUAUAAUAUAAAUCUUUUGUAUAAUAUAU
Molecule: long non-coding RNA, 2340 nt
Filed under: Olea europaea subsp. europaea
Lineage: Eukaryota; Viridiplantae; Streptophyta; Magnoliopsida; Lamiales; Oleaceae
Source: RNAcentral